This 771-nucleotide long non-coding RNA is filed under the name Heterocephalus glaber (naked mole-rat). RNAcentral's name for it is "lncRNA (ENSHGLG00000050051.1)". Lineage: Eukaryota; Metazoa; Chordata; Mammalia; Rodentia; Bathyergidae. The record is from RNAcentral.
ACGGCCUGGCGCGACCUGGGUGGUCCCGGGCUGCGCGAUCUGCUGCGACCUGAGUUAUUGUGCCGGCCCUGUUUGUCAGAGCCCAGGGAAGAGCAGGAACAACGAAAUAUUCUGGGGCCGGAUAGUUGAUAGCUGUCUUUUAUUUAAAAUAAUUUUCACACGGAGGACUUAAGUACUUCAGAAAAACACAUCUAAGGGAAGCCAACCUAGACUUCUCGAGGUGAAUGUUCCUUGGAGAUGAAGAAUAGCUCAGACCUGAGAAUCCAGAGGACAUGGCUGGAAUUUGGCCAAUGACAAUCCUGUGGAUGGGACAAAGUCAACCCUCACCUCUCAUUUCUUUGAGCUCAUUGUUUAGCUUCCUAACAGUGGUGACAAAGAAAAAGCACAAAUUAUAUUGCGUGGUGGAAAGGAAUAAAGGCAUGAAGCUAGCAACUAUCUACAGUAUGGAAGGGAAAACAGAGAAAGAGUAAAAGGAGAGUGGAGGAGGAGGAAAGAACAAGAGAGAAAAGAGGAAAAGGAGAAAGAGAAAAGGGCCCAUGGUAAGGAUGCAAUUUUUAUUUGUCCACCAGAGGGCGGUAUGUCAACUGAUGAGAAUAGAGGCCAGAAUGAAAGAUUUUUAUUGACUAUCUACAGGUGUUACUUUUUUAAAUGAAGUAUUCUAUUAUAAUUCAUUUUUAAAGUGUGUUUAUGGUGAAUUAUUAUUUUGUAAACAUUCCUCACUUUAUAAAAUGGCUCAGUACAUUUCAAAGUACAAAAACAUUUGUAAAUGGG